CGGAGGAAAAGAAACUAACAAGGAUUCCCCUAGUAACGGCGAGUGAAGCGGGAUCAGCUCAAGCUUAAAAUCUCUGUUGCUUGCAACAGCGAAUUGUAGUCUCGAGAAGCGUUUUCAAGACGGAUACGCAGUGCUCAAGUUGCUUGGAACGGCACAUCGUAGAGGGUGACAAUCCCGUACGUGGCACUGUGUACUGUUCACGAUGCGCUUUCAAUGAGUCGGGUUGCUUGGGAAUGCAGCCCAAAAUGGGAGG
This 253-nucleotide ribosomal RNA is filed under the name cf. Amphinema sp. MPM-2012. Its description in RNAcentral is "partial 28S ribosomal RNA". It matches the Rfam family "Eukaryotic large subunit ribosomal RNA", at positions 51 to 299 of the family's 3401-position model. The record is from RNAcentral. Lineage: Eukaryota; Metazoa; Cnidaria; Hydrozoa; Anthoathecata; Pandeidae.